AGAAAAUGACAGAAGGGUAAUGUGCCUGGCGUGAAACCAGUGUAUGGGGGGUCCAUUCCCUCUUAUCUG
RNAcentral lists this transfer RNA (69 nucleotides) under Dendrobates leucomelas (yellow-headed poison frog). RNAcentral's name for it is "tRNA-Ser". Lineage: Eukaryota; Metazoa; Chordata; Amphibia; Anura; Dendrobatidae. The record is from RNAcentral.